RNAcentral lists this transfer RNA (82 nucleotides) under Flavobacteriales bacterium. RNAcentral describes it as "tRNA-Leu". It matches the Rfam family "tRNA". From Rfam's summary of the family: Transfer RNA (tRNA) molecules are approximately 80 nucleotides in length. The record is from RNAcentral. Lineage: Bacteria; Pseudomonadati; Bacteroidota; Flavobacteriia; Flavobacteriales.
GCCCGGGUGGCGGAACUGGUAGACGCGCACGACUCAAACUCGUGUUCCGCAAGGAGUGUCGGUUCGAUCCCGACCCCGGGUA